Molecule: ribosomal RNA, 1022 nt
Filed under: uncultured Streptococcus sp.
Lineage: Bacteria; Bacillati; Bacillota; Bacilli; Lactobacillales; Streptococcaceae
Description: bacterial SSU rRNA
Rfam family: Bacterial small subunit ribosomal RNA (bases 1-835)
Source: RNAcentral
GACGAACGCUGGCGGCGUGCCUAAUACAUGCAAGUAGAACGCACAGUUUAUACCGUAGCUUGCUACACCAUAGACUGUGAGUUGCGAACGGGUGAGUAACGCGUAGGUAACCUGCCUGGUAGCGGGGGAUAACUAUUGGAAACGAUAGCUAAUACCGCAUAAUAUUAAUUAUUGCAUGAUAAUUGAUUGAAAGGUGCAAAUGCAUCACUACCAGAUGGACCUGCGUUGUAUUAGCUAGUAGGUGAGGUAACGGCUCACCUAGGCGACGAUACAUAGCUGACCUGAGAGGGUGAUCGGCCACACUGGGACUGAGACACGGCCCAGACUCCUACGGGAGGCAGCAGUAGGGAAUCUUCGGCAAUGGACGAAAGUCUGACCGAGCAACGCCGCGUGAGUGAAGAAGGUUUUCGGAUCGUAAAGCUCUGUUGUAAGAGAAGAACGGGUGUGAGAGUGGAAAGUUCACACUGUGACGGUAUCUUACCAGAAAGGGACGGCUAACUACGUGCCAGCAGCCGCGGUAAUACGUAGGUCCCGAGCGUUGUCCGGAUUUAUUGGGCGUAAAGCGAGCGCAGGCGGUUAGAUAAGUCUGAAGUUAAAGGCUGUGGCUUAACCAUAGUACGCUUUGGAAACUGUUUAACUUGAGUGCAGAAGGGGAGAGUGGAAUUCCAUGUGUAGCGGUGAAAUGCGUAGAUAUAUGGAGGAACACCGGUGGCGAAAGCGGCUCUCUGGUCUGUAACUGACGCUGAGGCUCGAAAGCGUGGGGAGCGAACAGGAUUAGAUACCCUGGUAGUCCAAGGGCGAAUUCCACAGUGGAUAUCAGCUUAUCGAUACCGUCGACCUCGAGGGGGGGCCCGGUACCCAGCUUUGUCCCUUAGAGGGGGUUAAUUAUACGCCCCCAAUAUCGCAAAACAGAACCCGGAGAUAUAGUGUGAGGCUCGCGGUGCCUAAGAGUGAGUACCUGCAUUAUAUGUGUUUGCUCCAUGCUCGCCUUACUGAGUCGAACACCGCAUGGCGACCAUGGA